RNAcentral lists this ribosomal RNA (482 nucleotides) under uncultured bacterium. Its description in RNAcentral is "partial 16S ribosomal RNA". It matches the Rfam family "Bacterial small subunit ribosomal RNA", at positions 30 to 507 of the family's 1533-position model. The record is from RNAcentral.
AUUGAACGCUGGCGGCAUGCCUUACACAUGCAAGUCGAACGGUAACAGGUCUUCGGAUGCUGACGAGUGGCGAACGGGUGAGUAAUACAUCGGAACGUGCCCGAUCGUGGGGGAUAACGAGGCGAAAGCUUUGCUAAUACCGCAUACGAUCUACGGAUGAAAGCGGGGGAUCUUCGGACCUCGCGCGGACGGAGCGGCCGAUGGCAGAUUAGGUAGUUGGUGGGAUAAAAGCUUACCAAGCCGACGAUCUGUAGCUGGUCUGAGAGGAUGAUCAGCCACACUGGGACUGAGACACGGCCCAGACUCCUACGGGAGGCAGCAGUGGGGAAUUUUGGACAAUGGGCGAAAGCCUGAUCCAGCCAUGCCGCGUGCAGGAUGAAGGCCUUCGGGUUGUAAACUGCUUUUGUACGGAACAAAAAGCCUCUUUCUAAUAAAGAGGGGUCAUGACGGUACCGUAAGAAUAAGCACCGGCUAACUACGUG